GCGGAUGUGGCGGAAUUGGUAGACGCGCCAGACUUAGGAUCUGGUGCCGCAAGGCAUGGGGGUUCGAGUCCCUUCAUCCGCA
RNAcentral lists this transfer RNA (82 nucleotides) under Bacteroidota bacterium. Its description in RNAcentral is "Bacteroidetes bacterium (marine metagenome) tRNA-Leu". It matches the Rfam family "tRNA". From Rfam's summary of the family: Transfer RNA (tRNA) molecules are approximately 80 nucleotides in length. Their secondary structure includes four short double-helical elements and three loops (D, anti-codon, and T loops). Lineage: Bacteria; Pseudomonadati; Bacteroidota. RNAcentral also lists the same sequence under 1 other name. The record is from RNAcentral.